Molecule: ribosomal RNA, 465 nt
Filed under: Vreelandella stevensii
Lineage: Bacteria; Pseudomonadati; Pseudomonadota; Gammaproteobacteria; Oceanospirillales; Halomonadaceae
Description: partial 16S ribosomal RNA
Rfam family: Bacterial small subunit ribosomal RNA
Source: RNAcentral
CCUACGGGGGGCUGCAGUGGGGAAUAUUGGACAAUGGGGGCAACCCUGAUCCAGCCAUGCCGCGUGUGUGAAGAAGGCCCUCGGGUUGUAAAGCACUUUCAGUGAGGAAGAACGCCUGGUGGUUAAUACCCAUCAGGAAAGACAUCACUCACAGAAGAAGCACCGGCUAACUCCGUGCCAGCAGCCGCGGUAAUACGGAGGGUGCGAGCGUUAAUCGGAAUUACUGGGCGUAAAGCGCGCGUAGGUGGCUUGAUAAGCCGGUUGUGAAAACCCCGGGCUCAACCUGGGAACGGCAUCCGGAACUGUCAAGCUAGAGUGCAGGAGAGGAAGGUAGAAUUCCCGGUGUAGCGGUGAAAUGCGUAGAGAUCGGGAGGAAUACCAGUGGCGAAGGCGGCCUUCUGGACUGACACUGACACUGAGGUGCGAAAGCGUGGGUAGCAAACAGGAUUAGAUACCCUAGUAGUC